Molecule: ribosomal RNA, 526 nt
Filed under: uncultured bacterium
Lineage: Bacteria
Description: bacterial SSU rRNA
Rfam family: Bacterial small subunit ribosomal RNA
Source: RNAcentral
GAGUUUGAUCCUGGCUCAGGAUGAACGCUGGCGGCGUGCUUAACACAUGCAAGUCGAACGGGAAUGCCACGCUGAUGCGAUUUCGGUCAAAUCAUGUGGCAUUCGAGUGGCGGACGGGUGAGUAACGCGUGGGUAACCUGCCUUACACAGGGGGAUAACACCUGGAAACAGGUGCUAAUACCGCAUAAGCGCACAGGGCCGCAUGGCCCGGUGUGAAAAACUCCGGUGGUGUAAGAUGGACCCGCGUCUGAUUAGCUUGUUGGCGGGGUAGGGGCCCACCAAGGCGACGAUCAGUAGCCGGCCUGAGAGGGUGGACGGCCACAUUGGGACUGAGACACGGCCCAAACUCCUACGGGAGGCAGCAGUGGGGGAUAUUGGACAAUGGGGGAAACCCUGAUCCAGCGACGCCGCGUGAGUGAAGAAGUAUUUCGGUAUGUAAAGCUCUGUCAGCAGGGAAGAAAGAAAUGACGGUACCUGACCAAGAAGCCCCGGCUAACUACGUGCCAGCAGCCGCGGUAAUACGUAG